Molecule: ribosomal RNA, 275 nt
Filed under: uncultured bacterium
Lineage: Bacteria
Description: partial 16S ribosomal RNA
Rfam family: Bacterial small subunit ribosomal RNA
Source: RNAcentral
CCUACGGGGGGCAGCAGUGGGGAAUUUUCCGCAAUGGGCGAAAGCCUGACGGAGCAAUACCGCGUGAGGGAGGACGGCUUUUGGGUUGUAAACCUCUUUUAUCAGGGAAGAAUCGAUGACGGUACCUGAUGAAUCAGCAUCGGCUAACUCCGUGCCAGCAGCCGCGGUAAUACGGAGGAUGCAAGCGUUAUCCGGAAUUAUUGGGCGUAAAGCGUCCGUAGGUGGUUUAUCAAGUCUGCUGUCAAAGCGUGCGGCUUAACCGCAUAAGGGCAGUG